UACGUAGGGUGCGAGCGUUGUCCGGAAUUAUUGGGCGUAAAGAGCUCGUAGGCGGUUUGUCGCGUCUGCCGUGAAAGUCCGGGGGCUCAACUCCGGAUCUGCGGUGGGUACGGGCAGACUAGAGUGAUGUAGGGGGAGACUGGAAUUCCGGGUGUAGCGGUGGAAUGCGUAGAGAUCCGGAAGAACACCGGUGGCGAAGGCGGCCUGCUGGGCUAUGGCUGACACUGAGGCGCGACAGCGUGGGGAGCAAACAGG
Molecule: ribosomal RNA, 255 nt
Filed under: uncultured bacterium
Lineage: Bacteria
Description: partial 16S ribosomal RNA
Rfam family: Bacterial small subunit ribosomal RNA
Source: RNAcentral